Carassius auratus (goldfish) is the source of this 2771-nucleotide long non-coding RNA. Lineage: Eukaryota; Metazoa; Chordata; Actinopteri; Cypriniformes; Cyprinidae. The record is from Ensembl.
AUGUGUUUCAUGGUAGCCAAUCAGAGACAGUUUUUUUACACAGAUGCCAGCACACGUGCCAGCGGCGCCAAACACACACACACACACACACACACACACACCUGCGACGCAACAGCUAAACAGAGAUUCGCAGCUGCAGCAGAGAUGGCGAGCCAGGAGCAAUCCGAUGAAAAGUUGGCAUUUUCAAGGGAUGUAAUAAAGUGCUUGGACUCCGAAACGAUGAGGUUGCAGAAAGGGGGAGGGAGGAAGAGAAGGAGGAAGGCCUGAACGAGUGUGAAGAAAAGGCGGAGACUUCCCAAAUACCGACCAUAAAAAUAACAUAGCGGGAGAUACCACUCAGAGUGGAGUUGUGAGAAGAUCAGUAGUUCCUCGUGCGUGCAUGUACAUGUAUUAUAAAUAUUAACACAUUUCUUGGAAUCUAAACAGUCUGUGGGGUAAAUCUAUCUUUCUCUGGCCCUUUUGCAAAAACACACACAUCAUUGCUUAUGCUUGGCUGUUUGGUAUGAAUGUGAGUGGAAUUUACCCAUAAUGCUGAAGCAGGAACUAGUAUAAACAAACAGACACAUAUAUUAUUAGGAAACUCUGAUAAGAAGGGAAGUGUUUAUCUCUGAUAAAAUACAUUUUACUGUCAAAAAUGAAUACUCUGAUUCUGUUCCAAACCUGUGUGAACUGUUUUUUGUCCACAGAUUACUAUUAAAUUCAAUAGGGUUCAGUCUUGUUUGGAUGCCACUGACUUUAUCGUUUGUGUUCUGCAGAAGAAAGUCACAGGUUUUGUUGUGACACGAGGGUGAAUAAUGCAAAAGCACAGAUAAGUAAUCCGAGUAUGGUUAUAAACAUGCAUUUAUUUUCCAUUCUGCAAGGAACUGAUAUUCUAUUUGAAUUUUAAUGUGUAACUAUUCAAAUGAAAAAUUAAGGAAGCUAAAGAGACUGGUCAUUGAAAACUUUCCAGGAUCUUCUUUAAUACUAGUAUAUAGUCUGGAUUUAUUUUAUAGUUCAGUUAACUUUCAUUGUAAUAGUUCUUCAAAAUAUCAGAUAGGAAUCCACUGAUAUAACCACACCUUUUCACAUCAGCACUAAUGAUUUAAAAAAUACUUUGAUUGUCAAAUAAAAACGUGGUUAUCUUUUAAUUGCACAAGCACUUUUGUACUUUUAUGAUUAAAAGUCUGCACUGUAAGUCAGAAAUCUUAUCGUGUCAAGCUCUAUUGGGUACACUCAGGACGUUUAUCAAGGCCUAUUGAUUUUUUUUCCACUUAGGCAUUUAAUGGUUUGUGAGUUACAACUUUUACUAUGUGUUAAUUACCCUCUAAUAUGAGGACGGAGAUCUGAUAAAAGCCUUUAGUUAAAUAGAGAGAAAAUUAAUUAAGAGAGUGGCUAAUCAAUUAAAUAAGUGGAAGCAUACAAGAAAUGCACAAUCUGCAAAAAAAAUUGUAUUGUAACCUUAAACAGAGGGGCAAUAUUAAUUAAAAAGAAUAUAUUUAAAAAAUAAAAUGUAAAUAUAAGAGUUGAACAUAUGUGUUGUGUGCAUUUUACUCCCUGAUUUUUCCAGUGAGGAAUGACCAGGAUUAAUCCAUAAAGAUUAUGAAAAAGACUUUGAUGAGGCAGAUGUUUUAACUGAUCAAAAGAGAAAGCAUAGAGUGACAUCCUGUACACAUUACACACACCUCAAGAUAAGCCUCAGACCUGUUUUUCUGAAAACAAGAGCAGUUGUGGCAUCUUCAUCUGUGUAUGUGAUUAUAUAUAUGACUGGAGGAAAAUCUUGUCUGCAGUAAAGGCCACAUUAAAAACCAUGCAUAUUUGAAUUACAUGCAGCCUGAGGCCAGAGAGAAUACCAAUGGCUUUAUACACACAAGAAUGCGAGGCACAUGUCUGGGUCCAUUUUGUAAAAAUAGUGCUCUUUAAUAUAAAUUAUGGAAAUAUCUUAUAAAUAUAAAUAUGUGCAAAGUUUCUUGCUGCAUUUUCUAUGUUAAUGCCUUUGUUUUCUGAUCUUCAAGCUUGCACUGCGGUCAUCAGACCAGACCUUAAGGUGAGACAUCUUUAUAAAAGACAGAGUAAAAAACAUGCUGUCCUGUUGGUGGCCACACAUGUAAACACCUUGAUUUGACAAAAUAUGAACAACAAAAAAAAAUGAAAAGAGUAAAAGAAUCUACAAGUGAAACCAUAAGCCCUUCCAUAGACUCAUAAUACAUUCAUUGAAUAGCAGACGUCAAGUCCUGCUAGUGAAACAAACACUGUGUCGUUGUUAUUGAAUGAGGAUUUGAAGCACACAAAGUACGAAUGCUUCUCCGUGUGAUCAGAGAAGCACGGUCCUUCAUGUCGAACACCACAGUAAAUAAGUUACUAAAGAUUUUUCAUACUGUGCUUGUAUUUGCUUCACAGUAUAUGAAUGACAAUUCAUAUAUACGCUCAUAUCAUUAACAAUGUUCAGCCUGCCUUAUCCUAGCACAAAUGAAACCACUGUUUGCUUUGGCUCCGGUCACGAACAAAGUAACAACAGUCCACUGAGGGGCCGUCUUCUCCAGAGAGGGCUAAGAGAGGUCAAAGGCCUGCGGUAACAGAUAGGAUCAAUACGUUCGCUCUAGUCCUUUUCCUUGACCCCGCACACAGUCACCGUAGCAGACAGUGUCGGUCGUGAGCGGUAAGUAGCCACCCCGUUUGCGCCCCCACGCCCACUUAUGAGGCAAUUACACUUGGCAAGAAGCAGUGGAAAUGUGUACGUCAUCGCAAAUACCCAGCUCUUGCUCCUUCCUUCCAGGAGAAAGUCAAAAAAAAUG